UGAUACGCCCCGGCCUCGGUGAUGAGAGUCGAGUCAUUGAUGUACCCGAUCGUGAAUUGGAGUAAUAUCAAGGUUUGUCGAAGAUAGGUUAAGAAAGAAGGGAUAAAGGCUCAAAUUUAGUUCAAAAGGGGUUAUGAAGUGUAUUGAGGAUGAUAGGUGAAUGAAAACCAAGUAUUCAAGUUGAACCAACACAAUAUAAGUGUGUUAACCCGGGACUUAUACGAAUACUUAGGAAAGGUUAAAUGUUGUAUGGAUGG
RNAcentral lists this long non-coding RNA (257 nucleotides) under Gossypium barbadense (sea-island cotton). RNAcentral's name for it is "long non-coding RNA (GBAR_LNC012415)". Lineage: Eukaryota; Viridiplantae; Streptophyta; Magnoliopsida; Malvales; Malvaceae. The record is from RNAcentral.